Oncorhynchus tshawytscha (Chinook salmon) is the source of this 363-nucleotide long non-coding RNA. RefSeq lists it as uncharacterized. NCBI's taxonomy places the organism in Eukaryota, Metazoa, Chordata, Actinopteri, Salmoniformes, Salmonidae. The record is from RefSeq and is a predicted model, not a curated record. The transcript has 3 exons.
UUAAGUUGUCAAACAGAUUUUCUAGGUGGCAAAAGAUCUGGACUAUUUCUACUUUGAUCUCAUUUCUUGUAUUUCUUUGAGAAUGGUUUGUCCUCCUAAUGGUGUCUGGAGCUCUACCCCUCUGCCCUAUCAGAUGCUCAGAAGUCCAUCCAGCUCGCCCCUGAUUGGCCAAAGGGAUACUUCCUCAAGGGGAGUGCACUGAUGGGGUUAAAGCUGUAUGGUGAAGCAGAAAGGGCCAUGGAGCAGGUGAUAAAGCUGGAUCAGGACUGAGAUGAGUCCUCCACUGAGGUCUUCAACUGCAAGUGGUGGACCUCUCCUCCCUCUCAGGACUCCAGUGGUGGACCUCUCCUCCCCUCCCCUCAG